Molecule: unclassified non-coding RNA, 70 nt
Organism: Cercocebus atys (sooty mangabey)
Lineage: Eukaryota; Metazoa; Chordata; Mammalia; Primates; Cercopithecidae
Source: Ensembl
GGGAGAGCUCCCCAUCUCUCCUGUUUUCCAGGCGUUCCUGAGGUGAUUUUCUGGAGCUCAAAGCUUUAAG